AUUGAACGCUGGCGGUAGGCCUAACACAUGCAAGUCGAGCGCGAAAGUGCCUUCGGGUGCGAGUAGAGCGGCGGACGGGUGCGUAACGCGUAGGAAUCUGCCUGGUAGUGGGGGAUGACGUAGCGAAAGUUACGCUAAUACCGCAUAUUCUGUGAGCAGGAAAGCAGGGGAUCUUAGGACCUUGCGCUUUAGGAGCGGCCGAUGUCGGAUUAGCUAGUUGGUGAGGUAAAGGCUCACCAAGGCGACGAUCCGUAGCGGGUCUGAGAGGAUGAUCCGCCACACUGGGACUGAGACACGGCCCAGACUCCUACGGGAGGCAGCAGUGGGGAAUUUUGGACAAUGGGCGCAAGCCUGAUCCAGCCAUGCCGCGUGAGUGAAGAAGGCCU
This 386-nucleotide ribosomal RNA is filed under the name uncultured bacterium. RNAcentral describes it as "bacterial SSU rRNA". It matches the Rfam family "Bacterial small subunit ribosomal RNA", at positions 30 to 417 of the family's 1533-position model. The record is from RNAcentral.